This 253-nucleotide ribosomal RNA is filed under the name uncultured bacterium. RNAcentral describes it as "partial 16S ribosomal RNA". It matches the Rfam family "Bacterial small subunit ribosomal RNA", at positions 524 to 776 of the family's 1533-position model. The record is from RNAcentral.
GACGGAAGGUGCAAGCGUUGCUCGGAAUCACUGGGCGUAAAGGGUGCGUAGGCGGCCGUGCAAGUCUGGCGUGAAAGCCCCGGGCUCAGCCCGGGAAGUGCGCUCGAAACUGCGCGGCUCGAGUGCCGGAGGGGAGAGUGGAAUUCCGGGUGUAGUGGUGAAAUGCGUAGAUAUCCGGAGGAACACCAGUGGCGAAGGCGACUUUCUGGCCUGUUCUUGACGCUGAGGCGCGAAAGCUAGGGGAGCAAACGGG